UACGUAGGCAGCAAGCGUUGUUCGGAGUUACUGGGCGUAAAGCGCACGUAGGCGGAUUUGUAAGUCAGGGGUGAAAUCCCGGGGCUCAACCCCGGAACUGCCUUUGAUACUGCGAAUCUCGAGUCCGGAAGAGGUGAGUGGAAUUCCUAGUGUAGAGGUGAAAUUCGUAGAUAUUAGGAAGAACACCAGUGGCGAAGGCGGCUCACUGGUCCGGUACUGACGCUGAGGUGCGAAAGCGUGGGGAGCAAACAGG
Molecule: ribosomal RNA, 253 nt
Filed under: uncultured bacterium
Lineage: Bacteria
Description: partial 16S ribosomal RNA
Rfam family: Bacterial small subunit ribosomal RNA
Source: RNAcentral